UACGUAGGGGGCAAGCGUUGUCCGGAAUCAUUGGGCGUAAAGCGCGUGUAGGCGGUCCGGUAAGUCCGCUGUGAAAGUCGGGGGCUUAACCCUCGGAUGCCGGUGGAUACUGUCGGGCUUGAGUACGGAAGAGGCGAGUGGAAUUCCUGGUGUAGCGGUGAAAUGCGCAGAUAUCCGGAGGAACACCGGUGGCGAAGGCGGCUUCCUGGACCGACACUGACGCUGAGGAGCGAAAGCCAGGGGAGCAAACGGG
This 253-nucleotide ribosomal RNA is filed under the name uncultured bacterium. Its description in RNAcentral is "partial 16S ribosomal RNA". It matches the Rfam family "Bacterial small subunit ribosomal RNA", at positions 524 to 776 of the family's 1533-position model. The record is from RNAcentral.